Molecule: ribosomal RNA, 392 nt
Filed under: uncultured Gammaproteobacteria bacterium
Lineage: Bacteria; Pseudomonadati; Pseudomonadota; Gammaproteobacteria
Description: bacterial SSU rRNA
Rfam family: Bacterial small subunit ribosomal RNA
Source: RNAcentral
AAUGCGCGAAAGCGUGACGGAGCAAUGCCGCGUGCAGGAUGAAGCCCCUCGGGGUGUAAACUGCUGUCAGGGUUUAGGAAGAUCUGACCAAACCCAAAGGAAGGGCCGGCUAACUUCGUGCCAGCAGCCGCGGUAAUACGAAGGGCCCGAGCGUUAUUCGGAAUCACUGGGCUUAAAGCGUACGCAGGCGGACACGCAGGCAUCUUGUGAAAUCCCACCGCUCAACGGUGGAACUGCAGGGUGAACCGCGUGUCUCGAGACAGGUAGGGGCCAUCGGAACGAUAGGUGGAGUGGUGAAAUGCGUUGAUAUCUAUCGGAACGCCGAAGGAGAAAUCAGAUGGCUGGGCCCGUUCUGACGCUGAGGUACGAAAGCGUGGGGAGCGAACGGGAUU